Molecule: ribosomal RNA, 467 nt
Filed under: uncultured bacterium
Lineage: Bacteria
Description: partial 16S ribosomal RNA
Rfam family: Bacterial small subunit ribosomal RNA
Source: RNAcentral
GACGAACGCUGGCGGCGUGCUUAACACAUGCAAGUCGAACGGAAAGGCCCUGCUUUUGUGGGGUGCUCGAGUGGCGAACGGGUGAGUAACACGUGAGUAACCUGCCCUUGACUUUGGGAUAACUUCAGGAAACUGGGGCUAAUACCGGAUAGGAGCUCCUGCUGCAUGGUGGGGGUUGGAAAGUUUCGGCGGUUGGGGAUGGACUCGCGGCUUAUCAGCUUGUUGGUGGGGUAGUGGCUUACCAAGGCUUUGACGGGUAGCCGGCCUGAGAGGGUGACCGGCCACAUUGGGACUGAGAUACGGCCCAGACUCCUACGGGAGGAAGCAGUGGGGAAUAUUGCACAAUGGGCGGAAGCCUGAUGCAGCAACGCCGCGUGCGGGAGGACGGCCUUCGGGUUGUAAACCGCUUUCGCCUGUGACGAAGCGUGAGUGACGGUAAUGGGUAAAGAAGCACCGGCUAACUACGU